UGCCGAUAAAAAGGGCUUGUGCGUCGAUACCUUGGCGGGCUUGAAGUCCGCCAAACACAACAAAGCCGCGAUAGGCAAACCGAUUGCCGAAUAUAUGUUGGUU
RNAcentral lists this ribosomal RNA (103 nucleotides) under Vibrio parahaemolyticus Peru-288. Its description in RNAcentral is "partial 23S ribosomal RNA". The record is from RNAcentral. Lineage: Bacteria; Pseudomonadati; Pseudomonadota; Gammaproteobacteria; Vibrionales; Vibrionaceae.